UACGGAGGGGGCUAGCGUUGUUCGGAAUUACUGGGCGUAAAGCGCACGUAGGCGGCUUUGUAAGUUAGAGGUAAAAGCCCGGGGCUCAACUCCGGAAUUGCCUUUAAGACUGCAUCGCUAGAAUUGUGGAGAGGUAAGUGGAAUUCCGAGUGUAGAGGUGAAAUUCGUAGAUAUUCGGAAGAACACCAGUGGCGAAGGCGACUUACUGGACACAUAUUGACGCUGAGGUGCGAAAGCGUGGGGAGCAAACAGG
This 253-nucleotide ribosomal RNA is filed under the name uncultured bacterium. RNAcentral describes it as "partial 16S ribosomal RNA". It matches the Rfam family "Bacterial small subunit ribosomal RNA", at positions 524 to 776 of the family's 1533-position model. The record is from RNAcentral.